RNAcentral lists this ribosomal RNA (579 nucleotides) under uncultured bacterium. RNAcentral's name for it is "bacterial SSU rRNA". It matches the Rfam family "Bacterial small subunit ribosomal RNA", at positions 80 to 650 of the family's 1533-position model. The record is from RNAcentral.
UUGCUUCUCUUGAGAGCGGCGGACGGGUGAGUAAUGCCUAGGAAUCUGCCUGGUAGUGGGGGAUAACGUUCGGAAACGGACGCUAAUACCGCAUACGUCCUACGGGAGAAAGCAGGGGACCUUCGGGCCUUGCGCUAUCAGAUGAGCCUAGGUCGGAUUAGCUAGUUGGUGGGGUAAUGGCUCACCAAGGCGACGAUCCGUAACUGGUCUGAGAGGAUGAUCAGUCACACUGGAACUGAGACACGGUCCAGACUCCUACGGGAGGCAGCAGUGGGGAAUAUUGGACAAUGGGCGAAAGCCUGAUCCAGCCAUGCCGCGUGUGUGAAGAAGGUCUUCGGAUUGUAAAGCACUUUAAGUUGGGAGGAAGGGUUGUAGAUUAAUACUCUGCAAUUUUGACGUUACCGACAGAAUAAGCACCGGCUAACUCUGUGCCAGCAGCCGCGGUAAUACAGAGGGUGCAAGCGUUAAUCGGAAUUACUGGGCGUAAAGCGCGCGUAGGUGGUUUGUUAAAGUUGGAUGUGAAAAUCCCCCGGGCUCAACCUGGGAAACUGCAUUCAAAAACUGACUGACUAGAGUAUG